CGUGGGACGUAAAGCGCAUGCAGGCGGCCUGUUAAGUCAGAUGUAGAAACGCCCCGGGGCUUAACCUCGGAAUUGCAUUUGAAACUGGCAGGCUAGAGUCUUGUAGAGGGGGUAGAAUUUCAGGUGUAGCGGUGAAAUGCGUAGAGAUCUGAAGGAAUACCAGUGGCGAAGGCGGCCCCCUGGACAAAGACUGACGCUCAGAUGCGAAAGCGUGGGGAGCAAACAGGAUUAGAUACCCUGGUAG
This 244-nucleotide ribosomal RNA is filed under the name uncultured bacterium. Its description in RNAcentral is "partial 16S ribosomal RNA". It matches the Rfam family "Bacterial small subunit ribosomal RNA", at positions 556 to 793 of the family's 1533-position model. The record is from RNAcentral.